Molecule: transfer RNA, 64 nt
Filed under: Solenaia carinata
Lineage: Eukaryota; Metazoa; Mollusca; Bivalvia; Unionida; Unionidae
Description: tRNA-Phe
Source: RNAcentral
GAAGACAGUAGCUUAAAUUUAACCAAAGCAUAACACUGAAAAUGUUAAGAUAAAUUUUUCUUCU